This 443-nucleotide ribosomal RNA is filed under the name uncultured bacterium. RNAcentral describes it as "partial 16S ribosomal RNA". It matches the Rfam family "Bacterial small subunit ribosomal RNA", at positions 338 to 795 of the family's 1533-position model. The record is from RNAcentral.
CCUACGGGAGGCAGCAGUGGGGAAUAUUGGGCAAUGGGCGCAAGCCUGACCCAGCAACGCCGCGUGAAGGAAGAAGGCUUUCGGGUUGUAAACUUCUUUUCUCAGGGACGAAGCAAGUGACGGUACCUGAGGAAUAAGCCACGGCUAACUACGUGCCAGCAGCCGCGGUAAUACGUAGGUGGCAAGCGUUAUCCGGAUUUACUGGGUGUAAAGGGCGUGUAGGCGGGGACGCAAGUCAGAUGUGAAAACCACGGGCUCAACCUGUGGCCUGCAUUUGAAACUGUGUUUCUUGAGUACUGUAGAGGCAGACGGAAUUCCUAGUGUAGCGGUGAAAUGCGUAGAUAUUAGGAGGAACACCAGUGGCGAAGGCGGUCUGCUGGACAGCAACUGACGCUGAGGCGCGAAAGCGUGGGGAGCAAACAGGAUUAGAUACCCGAGUAGUC